UACGUAGGGUGCAAGCGUUACUCGGAAUUACUGGGCGUAAAGCGGGCGCAGGCGGUUCGCUAAGGCCGAUGUGAAAUCCCCGGGCUUAACCUGGGAACUGCAUUGGUGACUGGCGGGCUAGAGUAUGGCAGAGGGGGGUAGAAUUCCACGUGUAGCAGUGAAAUGCGUAGAGAUGUGGAGGAAUACCGAUGGCGAAGGCAGCCCCCUGGGCCAAUACUGACGCUCAUGCACGAAAGCGUGGGGAGCAAACAGG
RNAcentral lists this ribosomal RNA (253 nucleotides) under uncultured bacterium. Its description in RNAcentral is "partial 16S ribosomal RNA". It matches the Rfam family "Bacterial small subunit ribosomal RNA", at positions 524 to 776 of the family's 1533-position model. The record is from RNAcentral.